Molecule: long non-coding RNA, 571 nt
Filed under: Gallus gallus (chicken)
Lineage: Eukaryota; Metazoa; Chordata; Aves; Galliformes; Phasianidae
Source: RNAcentral
GCUGAAUCUGCAGGACGAGGUGAAAUGCUUUCCAUUCUCCUAGUGCUGCCACUAUCCUCCUCAUCAUCAUCAUCACUAGAUAAAACAAUUGGAUCAUUUAGUUCUGAUGGUCUUGUAUUUCUCUGUCUUAAGUUUCCAGUAAUUUUAGCAUUUUUUGUCCCAGCUAGAAGACCAACUUUUCCAUUCUGUCGCAACAGAGAAUGUCCUACAACUUCGUUACUCAGUAGAAUAUCUGCUGGACCUUUCCCAACAGCAGAACUAUAAAACUUCUUUGUGUUGAACCCUGUACCUGAAGAUUUUUGCCCCGCUGAGUUCUGAUGUAUUGAAGAACGUGAUAAAGGUCCCACAGAUUCACUUAAUGUUCCAGCUUGUCUGGAGACUCUUUGCAAAUCCUUAAGAGAAACAUUUUCACAAUGUCGACACUUGGUCUGGUUUUCAUUUGCCCGCCCACAAUUUGGGCAAUCAGUAGAGUACUCAAUUGGUUCCAAAAGCUAGAGGAGGAAAGAAAAAACAAACCCCAACCAGUAACUGUAUGAUCUAAGAAAAACAAAGAUACUAUUUGCAAAUUUUG